RNAcentral lists this ribosomal RNA (251 nucleotides) under uncultured prokaryote. Its description in RNAcentral is "partial 16S rRNA". It matches the Rfam family "Bacterial small subunit ribosomal RNA", at positions 525 to 775 of the family's 1533-position model. The record is from RNAcentral.
ACGGAGGGUGCGAGCGUUGUUCGGAGUUAUUGGGCGUAAAGCGCGUGUAGGCGGUCUUUUAAGUCUGAUGUGAAAGCCCCGUGCUCAACCUUUCCCGUGCAUUGGAAACUGGGAGACUUGAAUACGGGAGAGGGUAGUGGAAUUCCUAGUGUAGGAGUGAAAUCCGUAGAUAUUAGGAGGAACACCGGUGGCGAAGGCGGCUACCUGGACCGAUAUUGACGCUGAGACGCGAAAGCGUGGGGAGCAAACAG